Molecule: ribosomal RNA, 3558 nt
Filed under: Triticum aestivum (bread wheat)
Lineage: Eukaryota; Viridiplantae; Streptophyta; Magnoliopsida; Poales; Poaceae
Description: partial small subunit ribosomal RNA
Source: RNAcentral
CCCUGCCACCCGGGACCAAGACCUGCGAACUGACCGGGUAAUUAAAAAAGAAAAAGAAAUUGCUCCUAAAGGGGCGAUGCUGCUGUGGUCCGCGGCAGCCGUGUCCGCUUGACGAAGACCGGAGCUCAAGCCUCCUUCCUUCCCUCGCCACGCGCGGUCUUCGUAGCUCUGCUUCGCCUCUUACUCCCACGGCGAGACGGCGGAGGGCGAGGAGGACGAGGAGCAGGAUCGGGAGAGCGGCCUCCCCUGCGCCACCGGCCCGCGGAGCCGCCGCUGCCGGCGCCGCCGCGCCGCGUAGCGCGGCGACGGUAGGCGGCGCGACGCGGCGGAGAUGCUGUGGAGGUUGAUGCCGUCCGACGUCGAGUUGUUGCCGGAGCGGGAGAGGGGGGUCUACCCCACCUUGUCGACCUUAAAGAAGCGGACGUUGUAGUUGCUGUGCGAGUAGGCGCUCUGUCGACUACGUAACCAAAGCUGCCCCAACCGACUAAACCCUAUGUUGAUGUAUUUGUAGCUGCUGACAACCAGCAUACACUUUGCUCCUUUAUUCCUAGUUAACGAUGGACUAGGUUUCUGAAAGGGAAGACCUUAGUUUAGUGAACGCCUGAUACACGUGCCUUUUCCAGAUUUUGAACCAUAGAUGAGACUGCGACCCCAUAAAUGAACAGUUCAAGCUGGUCCUAGCGAGGUAGUGCUUUUACUGCUACGACGGGAAAAACGAAGUACCCCACAACUGAUAGAUUUCAUGCUGUUGACAAUGUUAGACCCUUAUGGCGGUUUCCUUUCCAUAGGAGGUUACGCACUACGAGAUUUAAGUUGACCCGCGGUCUAUAAGAUGAGAGAUACACUUACCCCGGUCCUACUAGGUCGAAAUACCCGACCUUUUCAACCUUUGUCAACCGCAUGUUGUCUACUGUAUGUCCUAUGUACCUUUUCGUACUGACUGUAACGACUAUUCUUGUUGUUCACCCGUAGUAUACGACCUGGGCCACCUACCUUACUGGGCCUGUACGACCUUCAACCUUUACCACCGUACUGGAAACGUCUCAUGGCACGUGUAAAGUCGUAGACCCGUGAGUACUUCCGUGGAGAGAAUUAACCAACACUACAGUCUUUAUACUGAAGUGUCUGUUAACUUUAUAACUCGUUGUUUCUUCAUUAAGUUCAUUUGGUUCUAGGAGAACCUCAAGUUCCUUCUUCUUAAAACCCAGUCCCUUUCCCACCUACGGCACUCCACACCCGACCGGGGGAGAGACCGUUGGCAAACCGACAACGAAAUACCUUAGCAACAAGCCUCUGCCAAUUAUAGUGUUACAGUAACGGUCGACAUCCGGAACUACCAAGUAGACGGAUAAGACAAUCUCUAGACACCUUCGUACUUUGAGAUAGCCGCUUGCACCAUCCUUGAAAACCUCGGGUUCAGCGGCACGUGCUGACGUUCUACAUGUAAAAAUGAGGGUGGCAGCCAAAAAGACGUUCAACCACUAACUUUUUCCAGUUUCGGUGCGGUACGCCAUAUAUAUACAGACCUUUGUUUGAAACCAGUUAGUAGGUUGAAGGUCCAGUGUGCCAUAUAUAUACAUAGUCGGACAAAACCUGUUUUAUGAGAAUAGUUAGUAUAUAGGUCGUACUACGCGUUUUAAAUGAGAGUUAAACAUGUAGAGAAAGGCCCUCCGAGAUAUAGUACGGUCACCUGAUACUGGUUAUUUAAUUAGUAGUCAAUAACCUCCCCUUUAUAUAUAUCCUGUAUAUUACAAAAGAGUAAUAAUGUCCACGUAGGAUUAGCAUUGGACUGACAAAGAAUCCCAGAUAGUGUCCCAAUCGAUCGACCAUCUAGACUUUGGGCCGUCGUAGACCGUCCAAGAACCGGACCUUGCGCAGCCGAGAGGUAGACCGGUGGAACACCGCCUCCACCAGGCUGGUCUUGACCGACGGCAGCAGCUGCACGUAGAGGACCUCGUGGUGCCGCAAGAGGUGCUCCUUGAACCGGUCGGCGUGGACCUUCGUCAACUGGAGGGACCGGAACUUGACGUCGCAAUGGAACGCGUCCCAACAGAGGUCCGUCGACUUGAACGACAAACAGUCCCGCAAGCCCUCGGGGCUCUGCGGCAGCUCGACGUGGCGUAGUGCUACGCGGCUACCGUACGUGCGCUCGGAGAGCUUGGCCAGGUACCUAAGCGCCUUCCCCGGAGGCCGACCCAGGAGCCACAACAUGGUCAUCACCACGCUGUAGAGGUCGGACUCGGCGUCGAGCCUGUACCGGCCCGUCCUCCGCUCGUCGGAGCGGUGACGGUGGCGACACGAAGACAGGGGCAGGAACGUGAACGGCACGUGAACCUCCUCGAACUCCAAACCCUUGCACCCGUUCUACCGGAACGGCCGGUCCUACAGAAGUUACGACAGGUCGGCGUCGAACUCGCGGGAGCACGACCUCUUCGACCACUCGUACGCGCUGCACCUGAGCAUGACGACCUGCAAAACCAACGCCGCUCACCGCAGCUCCAACUGCGCACGGUCGCGGCCGCGCCCGCAACGUUCGCUCUCGAACUCUCCCAUGGGCGACAUCGCCUUCCUCGCGUCCGAGCCGUACAGCUCGAGCUACGGGCACAACCGCCCUAGCAGCUCGAGUACGGUCGGCUCUAUUACCCAGAGCUCGUGGUCCCGCCGCUGGCACCCUGUCGCCUCCGCCUCCGCGUCCGACUUUCAAAGUACGUACAUUUAGCAGAACAACCUUGGUCCACCGAGGCCGCUCAAGACUGCCUCCAAGUGGUCGUGGUCCGACCAGUCGCGGCCGCGCAACAGCUGGUCCUGGACCUCUACGGGGAGGUUCCGCUUCGUCACCGCGUCGCACUCUAGGCACUCCGCGCCCUUCCGGUCCGCGCGGCUGCCGCCACCGCCGAGCUCCAACGUCGCGAGCUCGAGGUCGUGGGCCUCACACCGCCGGGUACCGUCCCUCGGGUCGCCGCCCGACAUGUACAGCAGCGUGACCGAAACGAAGAGCCUCGGUUACGCCUCCAGAAGGUCGGGCCGGCGCCGCCCCAGCCGCUCCUCCGGCCGCUGGGACUGCAGGAGAAAGCCAGGCCCCAACGACAUGGUAGACCAGUUCUCCGCCAUCCGCGGAAGCCACUCCUUCUCGCACUCGGAGAACUCCCGGCAGGGCGCCGCCCACCGCCGCUCCCGGCGGAACCGCAGCGCCUUCUUCUGCAGCUUCGUCCGCAUCGCUAGAAGCCGCCUCAUCACAGACGACAGCUCCAACUCCUGCGGGCACGCCGCGGUGUCCCCUGCGGUAACCGCGCUCUCCUGCCGCGACCGGCGCCGGAGGAACCGGCCGCGCUUCCUGUCAUGCACCACCUCUUCUAGCAGUCCCUCCCGCCUCUCUCCCAGCCGCCGCCGCCGGUAGCACCUGCGCCCGCAGAGCCGAUCCAAACAACACGCAACUUCAUGUCAUAAAUUCCCCACUAACUCAGCCAAACCAAAGACUGCUUUCGCGGCGUAACGUACCCUCAAAAAAAAGGCUGUUUGUAGGGGAGGACUCAAAAAAAAAGAAACUCAUUAGAGCGG